CCUACUGGAGGCAGCAGUAGGGAAUCUUCCACAAUGGGCGAAAGCCUGCUGGAGCACCGCCGCGUGGGUGCAGAAGGUCUUCGGAUCGUAAAACCCUGUUGUUAGAGAAGAAAGUGCGUGAGAGUAACUGUUCACGUUUCGACGGUAUCUAACCAGAAAGCCACGGCUAACUCCGUGCCAGCAGCCGCGGUAAUACGUAGGUGGCAAGCGUUAUCCGGAUUUAUUUGGCGUAAAGGGAACGCAGGCGGUCUUUUAAGUCGGAUGUGAAAGCCUUCGGCUUAACCGGAGUAGUGCAUUGGAAACUGGGAGACUUGAGGGCAGAAGAGGAGAGUGAAACUCCAGGUGGAGGGGUGAAAUGCGUAGAUAUAUGGAAGAACACCAGUGGCGAAGGCGGCUCUCUGGUCUGUAACUGACGCUGAGGUUCGAAAGCGUGGGUAGCAAACAGGAUUAGAUACCCGGGUAGUC
This 465-nucleotide ribosomal RNA is filed under the name uncultured bacterium. RNAcentral describes it as "partial 16S ribosomal RNA". It matches the Rfam family "Bacterial small subunit ribosomal RNA", at positions 338 to 795 of the family's 1533-position model. The record is from RNAcentral.